CAAUAGCGUAUACUAAUGUUGUUGCAGUUAAAAGCUCGUAGUCGGAUUUCAGUAGUAGUCGGCUGUUCUUGUUUGAUACGGCUUCCUAUUACUUCUUUGACAGAAACAUUCAUGUUAUUGAUUUAGCGUGUUUUGGGACUGUCUCUUUUACUUUGAGAAAAUUAGAGUGUUCAAAGCAGGUUCUCGCCUGAAUAUUACUCUUGGAAUAAUGAUAUAGGACUCAGGUUCAUAUUUGUUGGUGAUCUGGACCUGAGUAAUGAUUGAUAGGGACGGUUGGGGUCAUUCGUACUGCAAAGCGAGAGGUGAAAUUCUUGGACCUUUGUAUGACGAACAACUGCGAAAGCAUUUGGCUAGGACGUUCCCGUUGAUCAAGAACGAAAGUUGGGGGAUCGAAGACGAUUAGAUACCAU
This 410-nucleotide ribosomal RNA is filed under the name uncultured eukaryote. Its description in RNAcentral is "bacterial SSU rRNA". It matches the Rfam family "Eukaryotic small subunit ribosomal RNA", at positions 592 to 1018 of the family's 1831-position model. The record is from RNAcentral.